AUUGAACGCUGGCGGCAGGCCUAACUCAUGCAAGUCGAGCGGAUGAAGGGAGCUUGCUCCUGGAUUCAGCGGCGGACGGGUGAGUAAUGCCUAGGAAUCUGCCUGGUAGUGGGGGAUAACGUCCGGAAACGGGCGCUAAUACCGCAUACGUCCUGAGGGAGAAAGUGGGGGAUCUUCGGACCUCACGCUAUCAGAUGUGCCUAGGUCGGAUUAGCUAGUUGGUGGGGUAAAGGCCUACCAAGGCGACGAUCCGUAACUGGUCUGAGAGGAUGAUCAGUCACACUGGAACUGAGAAACGGUCCAGACUACUACGGGAGGCAGCAGUGGGGAAUAUUGGACAAUGGGCGAAAGAAGGAUCCAGAAAUGCCGCGUGUGUGAAGAAGGUCUUCGGAUUGUAAAGCACUUUAAGUUGGGAGGAAGGGAAGUAAGUUAAUACCUUGCUGUUUUGACGUUACCAACAGAAUAAGCACCGGCUAACUACGUG
This 484-nucleotide ribosomal RNA is filed under the name uncultured bacterium. Its description in RNAcentral is "partial 16S ribosomal RNA". It matches the Rfam family "Bacterial small subunit ribosomal RNA", at positions 30 to 507 of the family's 1533-position model. The record is from RNAcentral.